This 240-nucleotide ribosomal RNA is filed under the name uncultured bacterium. RNAcentral's name for it is "partial 16S ribosomal RNA". It matches the Rfam family "Bacterial small subunit ribosomal RNA", at positions 94 to 334 of the family's 1533-position model. The record is from RNAcentral.
AGCGGCGGACGGGUGAGUAACGCGUGGGUAACCUGCCUCAUACAGGGGGAUAACAGUUAGAAAUGGCUGCUAAUACCGCAUAAGACCACAGUACUGCAUGGUACAGUGGUAAAAACUCCGGUGGUAUGAGAUGGACCCGCGUCUGAUUAGGUAGUUGGUGGGGUAACGGCCUACCAAGCCGACGAUCAGUAGCCGACCUGAGAGGGUGACCGGCCACAUUGGGACUGAGACACGGCCCAA